CUGGUUGAUCCUGCCAGUAGUCAUAUGCUUGUCUCAAAGAUUAAGCCAUGCACGUGUAAGUAUAAACAAAUUAUACUGUGAAACUGCGAAUGGCUCAUUAAAUCAGUUAUAGUUUAUUUGAUAGUGGAAUGCUACAUGGAUAACCGUGGUAAUUCUAGAGCUAAUACAUGCGAAAAGACCCGACUUUUGGGAAGGGUUGUAUUUAUUAGAUUCAAAACCAAUGAGCCGCAAGGCUGUUUCCGCAAGGAAAGGGUGGUGAUUCAUAAUAACUGUGCGAAUCGUAUUGGGCACUUGCUGCCGACGAUGGAUCAUUCAAAUUUCUGACUUAUUAACUUUCGAUGGUAAGGUAGUGGCUUACCAUGGUCGCCAUGAGUAACGGAGGAUCAGGGUUCGAUUCCGGAGAGGGGGCCUGAGAAAUGGCCACCACAUCCAAGGAAGGCAGCAGGCGCGUAAAUUAUCCACUUCCAGAGCGGAGAGAUAGUGACAAUAAAUAACAAUGCUCGACUCUUUAUAGCCGAGCAAUUGGAAUGAGUACAACGUAAAGAACUUAACGAGAACCAAUUGGAGGGCAAGUCUGGUAGAUCCUGCCAGUAGUCAUAUGCUUGUCUCAAAGAUUAAGCCAUGCAUGUCUAAGUAUAAACUGCUUAUACUGUGAAACUGCGAAUGGCUCAUUAAAUCAGUUAUAGUUUAUUUGAUGGUACUUCUACUCGGAUAACCGUAGUAAUUCUAGAGCUAAUACGUGCGUAAAUCCCGACUUCUGGAAGGGACGUAUUUAUUAGAUAAAAGGCCAGCCGGGCUUUGCCCGACCUGCGGUGAAUCAUGAUAACUUCACGAAUCGCACUGCCUCGUGCAGGCGAUUUUUCAUUCAAAUUUCUGCCCUAUCAACUUUCGACGGUAGGAUAGAGGCCUACCGUGGUUUUAACGGGUGACGGAGGAUUAGGGUUCGAUUCCGGAGAGGUAGUCUGAGAAACGGCUUUCACAUCCAAGAAGCAGCAGCGCGCAAAUUACCAUCCGACACGGGAGUAGUGACAAUAAAUACAAUGCCGGCAUUCAUGUUCUGGCAAUUGGAAUGAGUACAAAUUAAAU
Molecule: ribosomal RNA, 1086 nt
Filed under: uncultured eukaryote
Lineage: Eukaryota
Description: bacterial SSU rRNA
Rfam family: Eukaryotic small subunit ribosomal RNA (bases 1-603)
Source: RNAcentral